AUGUGAUACUAUUUGGGUACUAGAGACUGCAGGGGUUCGUAGAAAUAAAGAUAAAGGGUUGGUGAGGAAUAGAAAAGGGUUGUGUGGUAAAAUAACUCAGGUUGCGCCAUCUCUUAUUAUGCUAAACAAUCAAGACAGAGGUCUUGAGGAUAGUUCUGGAUGUGUGGAAAUAACAAACUGUUGAAUGUACUGCCAGAUGGAUCCUUUGCAAUCGCUAUGGCUAAACUUAAAGGGUUACGAGUAGAGGUUAAGGCAAAUGCUGGGGUUGACUCUCAUGUUUGGGAUUGGUUAGACUUAGCAUUGGGGAAAUGGGGAGCCAUGUUUGCUAGGAUGACCUUUAUGCUGGGAGGGGGGAUAUUGGCUCUGGGUAUUGUAUUUUGUUGUGUUUUACCCUGGGUGAAAUCACUUGUGAUCCAGACAACGGUUAAACAGAUGUUUGUAAGUAGAGCUGACACUCCGGUGAUAGUUGAUUCUGUGCCGGGUAGGCCAGGCCACUAUACUGAUGGGAAUGGACAGUUAUGCAAUGUGGUUGGUGGACCCCCUGACUGCCCUUUUGGUAAUCCAAACUGCCUGUAUGGAGUGGUCUCUGGAGGUGGUUACACUUGCCAGGGUUUUCAUGAGGAUGGUUUACAUGUAGAUGCUGACAUUCCAAAGUCAACUGAUACGUAUCCACAAAAAGGGUAUUUUCCAUAGUAAAUACAGGGGUACUAUGUAUUUCUAUUUUUGCUUUUGGUCUUGUGUUUUUGUAUGUUUUGUUGAAUGUUUUUAUAGGUAUAUCGAUGAAUAUAUCUGGGUUUUCUUUUAAUUAAAAGUUAGUUUUGCCAAAAACAUGAAGGUAACAGUGGGAUAUCCCGGUUAUAAGUGUCUAUGGACCAUGUCCUUAAUCUUUUAACAGAGGUUGGUAUCAUGUUUGUUGGAGAGGUGUUUGAGAGGGAGGAUCAUGUUGAAAGCCUAAAUGUAGAAUGAUGUUGUGUCAAUUUGACUUUGUACCUACAUACUCAUGCUUCAACAGAAUGUUAUGUAUUUAUUUUAUUGUUUGCUUCUAACUAGAUCUUUUACUCUUAUGAAAUACUAGAGAUGUUUGGUCUAAGUUAAUUAGGAAGCUUGAUUUUUGUUAAUCAACUGUUGAUAUUAUGUUCCGGAUAUGUCCUUUUAAGUUUUUUGGUGCUUAUUAAAGCACCAGAGGGAGGUUAUGUGGGAGAAUUAUAUACAUGAUUUGAUAACAAAAGAGAAAAUGUACAUUUAUGGGUUCAUUCCUGUUCUGGUAAAGUGCAUUUUCUAUUGAAUAGGGCAGAAAGCCGAGAAAGACCAUGGGAGUAUGGAACAGCCGGGAACACUAAAGGAAUGCAGACACAUAGACGCCUAGAAAUGACUGGACAUACAAAGAGUGGUGCGUCACCAAGAUGUGUCCCCCCGCCACUGGGGAAGGAGAGAUCGGUUCCGCCUGGAGGUGUCGGGGGGAGGGCAGGGGGCGAAACGGGAGGAGAGGCCACUGCCCAGAAUCGACCCACUAGCCCCCCGAGACUCCUCCCUCCCUCUCUCACUCACUCCUCUACCUUACUUCACAUUGCCCCAGAAAGUUCGGAGACUGUCCCAGUUUGCAGUGUCGGUGGUGAUGGGUGUGGUGUGUGUUGCUUUCUUAAUGCUCCCCCUCCACUCUGAGCCCAACAACUUGGUUCCUAGCUAUGCCCAUGUGACUGUCACACAGAAAUUGGUGUGCGCCUACACACUGGGUCUGCUCACCAUGGUGUUUCUACGGUAACCAGAAGAGGAGAUGAUGUUUCCAUGGAGAUUCAGACCAAGAUCCCCCCCCCCUGUUCAUUCCCCAGACCAAUCUGAUGUGUUCUAGGGGCCAACAGUGCUGAUAUGUCCAACAGGGCUGAUAUGGUCUAGGGACCAACAGGGCUGAUAUGUCCAACAGGGCUGAUAUGGUCUAGGGACCAACAGGGCUGAUAUGUUCUAGGGACCAACAGGGCUGAUAUGUUCUAGGGACCAACAGGGCUGAUAUGUUCUAGGGACCAACAGGGCUGAUAUGUCCAACAGGGCUGAUAUGUUCUAGGGACCAACAGGGCUGAUAUGUUCUAGGGGCCAACAGGGCUGAUAUGUUCUAGGGACCAACAGGGCUGAUAUGUUCUAGGGACCAACAGGGCUGAUAUGUUCUAGGGACCAACAGGGCUGAUAUGUUCUAGGGGCCAACAGGGCUGAUAUGUUCUAGGGACCAACAGGGCUGAUAUGUUCUAGGGACCAACAGGGCUGAUAUGUUCUAGGGACCAACAGGGCUGAUAUGUUCUAGGGGCCAACAAGGCUGAUAUGUUCUAGGGGUCAACAGGGCUAAUAUGUUCUAGGGGUCAACAGGGCUGAUAUGUUCUAGGGGUCAACAGGGCUAAUAUGUUCUAGGGGUCAACAGGGCUGAAAUGUGAAACUGCAUGUAAAGCAUACAUUUAAACAAGUGGUAAACAAACAUAUGUGUACACUAACAUACAUGUAAACAAACCAACAUGUACUGUAAACAAACAUACGUGUACACUGACAUACACACAUGUAAACAAACCAACAUGUACUGUAAACAAACAUACAUGUACACUGACAUACAUAUAUGUAAACAAACCAACAUGUACUGUAAACAAGCAUACAUGUACACUAACAUACAUGUAAACAAACCAACCUGUACUGUAAACAAACAUAAGUGUACACUAACAUACAUGUAAACAAACCAACAUGUACUGUAAACAAACAUACAUGUACACUGACAUACAUACAUGUAAACAAACCAACAUGUACUGUAAACAAACAUACAUGUACACUAACAUACAUGUAAACAAACCAACAUGUACUGUAAACAAACAUACAUGUACACUAACAUACAUGUAAACAAACCAACAUGUACUGUAAACAAACAUACAUGUACACUAACAUACAUGUAAACAAACCAACAUGUACUGUAAACAAACAUACAUGUACACUGACAUACAUACAUGUAAACAAACCAACAUGUACGGUAAACAAACAUACGUGUACACUGACAUACAUACAUGUAAAAAAAAAACAUGUACUGUAAACAAACAUACAUGUACACUGACAUACAUACAUGUAAACAAACCAACAUGUACGGUAAACAAACAUACGUGUACACUGACAUACAUACAUGUAAAAAAAAAACAUGUACUGUAAACAAACAUACAUGUACACUGACAUACAUACAUGUAAACAAACCAACAUGUAACUAACAACUAACUUUCUACUAUUAAACUCGGACAAAACAGAGAUUCUUGUUCUAGGUCCCAAGAAACAAAGAGAUCUUCUGUUGAAUCUGACAAUUAAUCUUAAUGGUUGUACAGUCGUCUCAAAUAAAACUGUGAAGGACCUCGG
Molecule: long non-coding RNA, 3369 nt
Organism: Oncorhynchus tshawytscha (Chinook salmon)
Lineage: Eukaryota; Metazoa; Chordata; Actinopteri; Salmoniformes; Salmonidae
Source: Ensembl